Molecule: ribosomal RNA, 407 nt
Filed under: uncultured Actinoplanes sp.
Lineage: Bacteria; Bacillati; Actinomycetota; Actinomycetes; Micromonosporales; Micromonosporaceae
Description: bacterial SSU rRNA
Rfam family: Bacterial small subunit ribosomal RNA
Source: RNAcentral
UGGGGAAUAUUGCACAAUGGGCGGAAGCCUGAUGCAGCGACGCCGCGUGAGGGAUGACGGCCUUCGGGUUGUAAACCUCUUUCAGCAGGGACGAAGCGCAAGUGACGGUACCUGCAGAAGAAGCGCCGGCCAACUACGUGCCAGCAGCCGCGGUAAGACGUAGGGCGCGAGCGUUGUCCGGAUUUAUUGGGCGUAAAGAGCUCGUAGGCGGCUUGUCGCGUCGACUGUGAAAUCUCAGGGCUCAACUCUGACAUUGCAGUCGAUACGGGCAGGCUAGAGUUCGGUAGGGGAGACUGGAAUUCCUGGUGUAGCGGUGAAAUGCGCAGAUAUCAGGAGGAACACCGGUGGCGAAGGCGGGUCUCUGGGCCGAUACUGACGCUGAGGAGCGAAAGCGUGGGGAGCGAACA